AGUGUCUAUUGAAAGGAGAGACGGUUAGCACUCCCCUUGACAAGGAUGGAACACACAAUUUGGUUAAGGCACUAUUAACCAAACAUUUUUU
Molecule: non-coding RNA, 91 nt
Filed under: Bombyx mori (domestic silkworm)
Lineage: Eukaryota; Metazoa; Arthropoda; Insecta; Lepidoptera; Bombycidae
Source: RNAcentral